This 518-nucleotide ribosomal RNA is filed under the name uncultured bacterium. Its description in RNAcentral is "bacterial SSU rRNA". It matches the Rfam family "Bacterial small subunit ribosomal RNA", at positions 9 to 518 of the family's 1533-position model. The record is from RNAcentral.
GGGUUCGAUUCUGGCUCAGGAUGAACGCUAGCUACAGGCUUAACACAUGCAAGUCGAGGGGCAGCAUGAUCUAGCUUGCUAGAAUGAUGGCGACCGGCGCACGGGUGAGUAACGCGUAUCCAACCUUCCCAUAGUAGAGGAUAGCCCGGCGAAAGUCGGAUUAAUACUCUAUGUUUUCCAAUGAGGACAUCUGAGCUGGAAUAAAGGUUUACCGCUAUAGGAUGGGGAUGCGUCUGAUUAGAUGGUAGGCGGGGUAACGGCCCACCUAGUCGACGAUCAGUAGGGGUUCUGAGAGGAAGGUCCCCCACAUUGGAACUGAGACACGGUCCAAACUCCUACGGGAGGCAGCAGUGAGGAAUAUUGGUCAAUGGGCGAGAGCCUGAACCAGCCCAAGUAGCGUGCAGGAUGACGGCCCUAUGGGUUGUAAACUGCUUUUAUACGGGGAUAAAGUGAGGGACGUGUCCCUUUUUGUAGGUACCGUAUGAAUAAGGACCGGCUAAUUCCGUGCCAGCCGCCGC